This 465-nucleotide ribosomal RNA is filed under the name uncultured bacterium. RNAcentral describes it as "partial 16S ribosomal RNA". It matches the Rfam family "Bacterial small subunit ribosomal RNA", at positions 338 to 795 of the family's 1533-position model. The record is from RNAcentral.
CCUACGGGAGGCAGCAGUAGGGAAUCUUCCACAAUGGACGAAAGUCUGAUGGAGCAACGCCGCGUGAGUGAAGAAGGGUUUCGGCUCGUAAAGCUCUGUUGGUAGUGAAGAAAGAUAGCGGUACUAACUGGCCUUUAUUUGACGGUAAUUGCUUAGAAAGUCACGGCUAACUACGUGCCAGCAGCCGCGGUAAUACGUAGGUGGCAAGCGUUGUCCGGAUUUAUUGGGCGUAAAGCGAGUGCAGGCGGUUCAAUAAGUCUGAUGUGAAAGCCUUCGGCUCAACCGGAGAAUUGCAUCAGAAACGGUUGAACUGGAGUGCAUAAGAGGAGAGUGGAACUCCAGGUGUAGCGGUGGAAUGCGUAGAUAUAUGGAAGAACAUCAGUGGCGAAGGCGGCUCUCUGGUCUGCAACUGACGCUGAGGAUCGAAAGCAUGGGUAGCGAACAGGAUUAGAUACCCUUGUAGUC